GCCCCUGUGGUGAAAUUGGUAGACGCGUCCGACUCAAAAUCGGAUUCCGAGAGGAGUGCUGGUUCGAGCCCGGCCAGGGGCACCA
This 85-nucleotide transfer RNA is filed under the name Sphingomonas sp. Leaf5. Its description in RNAcentral is "tRNA-Leu". It matches the Rfam family "tRNA". Rfam says of the family: Transfer RNA (tRNA) molecules are approximately 80 nucleotides in length. Lineage: Bacteria; Pseudomonadati; Pseudomonadota; Alphaproteobacteria; Sphingomonadales; Sphingomonadaceae. The record is from RNAcentral. RNAcentral also lists the same sequence under 4 other names.